RNAcentral lists this transfer RNA (76 nucleotides) under Eubacterium sp. Its description in RNAcentral is "tRNA-Gln". It matches the Rfam family "tRNA". From Rfam's summary of the family: Transfer RNA (tRNA) molecules are approximately 80 nucleotides in length. Their secondary structure includes four short double-helical elements and three loops (D, anti-codon, and T loops). Lineage: Bacteria; Bacillati; Bacillota; Clostridia; Eubacteriales; Eubacteriaceae. The record is from RNAcentral.
UGGUCUGUGGUGAAGCGGUUAACACUCGGAGCUUUGACCUCCGCAUUUUUCCUGGGUUCGAGUCCCAGCAGGCCAA